UACGGGGGGGGCAAGCGUUGUUCGGAAUUACUGGGCGUAAAGGGCGUGUAGGCGGUCUAUCAAGUCUGGUGUGAAAUCCCCUCGCUCAACGAGGGAACUGCGCCGGAAACUGACAGACUAGAGUACCGGAGAGGAAGGUGGAAUUCCUGGUGUAGCGGUGAAAUGCGCAGAUAUCAGGAGGAACACCGGUGGCGAAGGCGGCAUCCUGGACCGGUAUUGACGCUGAGGCGCGAAAGCCAGGGGAGCAAACGGG
This 253-nucleotide ribosomal RNA is filed under the name uncultured bacterium. RNAcentral's name for it is "partial 16S ribosomal RNA". It matches the Rfam family "Bacterial small subunit ribosomal RNA", at positions 524 to 776 of the family's 1533-position model. The record is from RNAcentral.